This is a non-coding RNA of Mycena alexandri, 99 nucleotides long. The record is from the annotation of a GenBank genome assembly. Lineage: Eukaryota; Fungi; Basidiomycota; Agaricomycetes; Agaricales; Mycenaceae.
UCGGACGUGGUGUAGUGCAACACGGUCUCUCUUCCUACAGGCUGGUACCAGUAUGUGAGUAUAAUGAAGCAAAUCCGGGUUCGACUCCCGGCGUCCGAA